Molecule: ribosomal RNA, 469 nt
Filed under: Porphyromonas canoris
Lineage: Bacteria; Pseudomonadati; Bacteroidota; Bacteroidia; Bacteroidales; Porphyromonadaceae
Description: bacterial SSU rRNA
Rfam family: Bacterial small subunit ribosomal RNA
Source: RNAcentral
GAGUUUGAUUAUGGCUCAGGAUGAACGCUAGCGAUAGGCUUAACACAUGCAAGUCGAGGGGCAGCAUAGAAUCAGCUUGCUGAUUUAGAUGGCGACCGGCGGAUGGGUGCGUAACGCGUAUGUAACUUACCUGUCAGAGGGGGAUAACCCGGAGAAAUUCGGACUAAUACCGCAUAUACUUGAGAUGCUGCAUGGCGUUUCAAGGAAAUAUUUAUAGCUGACAGAUAGGCAUGCGUUCCAUUAGCUGGUAGGUGAGGUAACGGCUCACCUAGGCGACGAUGGAUAGGGGAACUGAGAGGUUAAACCCCCACACUGGUACUGAGACACGGACCAGACUCCUACGGGAGGCAGCAGUGAGGAAUAUUGGUCAAUGGGCGAGAGCCUGAACCAGCCAAUUCGCGUGAAGGAAGACUGCCCUAUGGGUUGUAAACUUCUUUAGUAGGGGAUUAAAGUUUGCCUUGCGAGGCAA